UAACCGGAGGAAGGUGGGGAUGACGUCAAAUCAUCAUGCCCCUUAUGACCUGGGCUACACACGUGCUACAAUGGGCGGUACAAAGGGUCGCGAACCCGCGAGGGGGAGCCAAUCCCAAAAAGCCGCUCUCAGUUCGGAUUGCAGGCUGCAACUCGCCUGCAUGAAGCCGGAAUCGCUAGUAAUCGCGGAUCAGCAUGCCGCGGUGAAUACGUUCCCGGGCCUU
Molecule: ribosomal RNA, 223 nt
Filed under: uncultured Anoxybacillus sp.
Lineage: Bacteria; Bacillati; Bacillota; Bacilli; Caryophanales; Anoxybacillaceae
Description: partial 16S ribosomal RNA
Rfam family: Bacterial small subunit ribosomal RNA
Source: RNAcentral